Gopherus flavomarginatus (Mexican gopher tortoise) is the source of this 3491-nucleotide long non-coding RNA. RefSeq lists it as uncharacterized. The transcript has 2 exons. Lineage: Eukaryota; Metazoa; Chordata; Testudines; Testudinidae. The record is from RefSeq and is a predicted model, not a curated record.
GGCUGGGAGACUGGGGAGGCGAGAGACCCGCGCUCCGGCCUGUCCGUGUGUCUGGCAUUGACAGAGAGACAAGCGGACACAGCUCGCCGCCAGCGGACAGGCCUGACAGGCGGACACCGCAGGCACAGCCGGACCCAUUGCAGACAAGCAGACAGACCCGGACCCAUUGCAGACAGCACAGCCGGACCCAUUGCAGACAGACCCGGACCCAUUGCAGACAGCACAGCCGGACCCAUUGCAGACUGCACAGCCGGACCCAUUGCAGACAAGCAGACAGACCCGGACCCAUUGCAGACAGCACAGGCGGACAUUGCAGACAAGCAGACAGACCCGGACCCAUUGCAGACAGCACAGCCGGACCCAUUGCAGAAAGACGGGCGGACAUUGCAGACAAGCAGACAGACCCGGACCCAUUGCAGACAGCACAGCCGGACCCAUUGCAGACAGCACAACAGACCCGGACCCAUUGCAGACAGCACAGGCGGACAUUGCAGACAAGCAGACAGACCCGGACCCAUUGCAGAAAGACGGGCGGACAGCACAGCCCCUCGCUGCAGACACUGACCGCAGCCAGGCUUUGACAGCCGGACACACACCUUGCAGACAGACAGACAGACAGACCCAGACUACAGCCACUGCAGGCGGCCUCAGGCACACCCUGCGGAAAGACAACAAGCAGACAGAUGCUGCAGACACCCUGGCAGACAUAACAAACAAGCAGACAGACCCACACUGCAGGCAGCGAUGGUAGAUGGGCAGGCCAGGCCAGGCAGUUCAGUGCGUCUGGCUUUCCUGGCUGUGUCUCUACCUGCUUGUAUUACGCGCUGGCAUGUAGGCACUUCCAGACCAGGAUGAGAACAAAAUUGAAUCCUGGGCCUCCCGCACGGAUGGACAGACGAGGGGCUCACAGACACAUGCUGAGAUCCAAGCCCAAGUGGUUUCUGGCAGGCCAAGCCCAGCUCGGUCCCUGGGUUGCAGUGUGGUGGCGUGUCUGCUAGGAGGCCCAGCAAUAUAGUGAGGAAUUGCCUGGCACUGGGCAGUGAAAAAACGAAUAAAACAAAUAAACUACACAAGCAGGGCUUUGUCCCUUAGGAUCACUUGUCAUUAGGGUGACCAGACAGCACCUGUGAAAAAUCUGGACGGGGGUGGGGGGUAAUAGGAGCCUAUAUAAGAAAAAGACCCCAAAAUCGGGACUGUCCCUAUAAAAUUGGGAUAUCUGGUCACCCUAUUUGUCAUCAGCACCCAUUGCUGGUUCAUGGCUGCUGUGUGCCAUCUCAUUUAUUUCUGCUGAUACCACAGAUGUUAGAGAUGGAAAGGGCAAGGCCUGUUAGACAAUCAAGUCCGUCUCCCUUUGGCCACUGUAGGACUGUAUUUGAGAGUGUCUUGUCUAAGAUCUUUAGGGCAGGGGUCCUUUUUGUUCAGUGUUUUGUACAGCAACUAGCAAAAUGCGGUUCUGGUCCACGACUGAGGCUCCUUUCUGGUGCCACAGUACAAAUAAUUUUUAAAAGUCCCAUGUGAGGGGGUUUCCACCACAUCCCUUUGUAGACUAUUCCACAACCUAGUACACCUCAAUGUCAGAGUGAUAUUCAGCCUAACUUUCCCCUUUCUUAAUUUCAUAUAAUUCCUUUACCCACAGCUACUAAACUAAAGAAUUCCUCUCCCUUCCUAGUCAUCACUUAGCCUGGCUGGGAUGAUUUACUUGGUGUUGGUCCUGCUUUGAGCAGAGGGUUGGACUAGAUGACCUCCUGAGGUCUCUUCCAACCCUGAUAUUCUAUUAUUCUAAGUAGGACACAUUCCGUUCUUUUAUUCUUUGCUGAGAAGUCAGUCCUUCCAGUGCCAAGAUCCUUUUUAUUCAUCGUCCCUAAAUCCCCUCCAGUUAGUCAAUAUAUAAUAGUAUUUAUUAUUUGUAUUACAUUGUACCUAGGAUCCUUAGUCAUGGACUAACACCCGAUUGUGCUAGGCACUGUACAAAGAGAACAAAAAGGACAGUCCCUACCCCAAGGAGCUAAAAUUCUCUUUCUGGUAAUGUGGUGCCUAGAAGUGAAUGUAUUAUUUUAGGUGGGGUUGGUCCACAGCCCUUUAGAGGAGACAUUUUACUUCCCUGCUCUUGACUGUUGUUUUUUUCAUAAGCAGUCCACCUCAGCAUUGGCCUUUUCCUUGUGACCAAAUCACCACUGCAAAUUCAUAGCUAACUUGCUGUGUAGUACCAUUACUGUUUUUCAGGUUUCUCCCUUCCACUGAAUAUCUGUAUUUCAAAUCCUCCUCCCCCAAAAAGUUGAAACUAGACCAAUUGAGACUGGAAAUAAGGCAUACAUUUUUAACAGUGAGAGUAAUCAGCCAUUGAAACAAUUUACCAAGACUUGUGAUAGAUUCUCCAUCACUGACAAUGUUUAAAUCGAGAUUGGAUGUUUUUCAAAAAGAUCGGCCCUGGGAAUGAUUUGGGGGCAGUUCUAUGGCCCAUGCUAUACAGGAGUUCAGACUAGAUGAUCACAGUAGUCCCUUCUGGCCUUGGAAUGUAUGAAAACAUAUUAGUCUCCAUUUCUGCUGAAUUUAACUGCAUUGUUUGCUGAACUUCUGUCCAUUUCUUUAAUCCCCCUCUGUGUUAUUUCUGAGUGUUCUCCAUACUUCCUCACAGUUUAGAGUCAGCUGCAAAUUUCAUAAGUGUGCAGAGUUGGGCUUGCAGGAUGUUUUCUAAGGUUAGAGGGACAGGCUGGUACUACCUAUCUAGGUACUUAUAUGACCCAUGUCACUGUUUGAGCCCCUCACAAUCAUUAAUGGAUUUUAUCCUCAUAACACGCCUGUUAGGUAAGAUCCCCGAGAUACCCCAUUUUACCAAGGUCUCUCGAGUCGCAGUCCAACACCCUAUUCACUAGACCAGGGGUUGGCAACCUUUCAGAAGUGGCAUGCCAAGUCUUCAUUUAUUCACUCUGAUUUAAGGUUUCGCGUGCCAGUAAGACAUUUUAACAUUUUUAGAAGGUCUCUUUCCAUAAGUCUAUGAUAUAUAACUAAACUAUUGUUGUGUAUAAAGUAAAUAAGGUUUUUAAAAUGUUUAAGAAGCUUCAUUUAAAAUUAAAUUAAAAUGCAGAGCCCCCCGGACCGGUGGCCAGGACCCGAGCAGUGUGAGUGUCACAGAAAAUCAGCUCGCGUGCCGCCUUUGGCAUGCAUGCCAUAGGUUGCCAACCCCUGCACUAGACCUUACUUCCUACAUUGACUCUUAUCAUUCAAAUGUGCUGCAAUAUAUUUCAAGUAGAUAUGACAGUGAGGAGUAUGUGGGGGACAGAGAGUGAAAUUCAUUCUUGCUUCCUCUUCCAGCUGAGACAGCUGCAGCCUCAGAUGGUGAGGCCAAAGGAGGCUUUACUCCUUGAGUAAGUUCUUUGGAUGUGAUCGUGGAGACAUAUGCAGAAGUCAUUGUGCACUGUCCUGUGGCGCUAUCAGCUGAUGUUAUGAGCCUUGUUUCUCUGAUGCCCCAGUAAAAGUUUAUGUUUGAUUUA